This 2827-nucleotide long non-coding RNA is filed under the name Homo sapiens (human). Its description in RNAcentral is "HSALNT0091233". The record is from RNAcentral. Lineage: Eukaryota; Metazoa; Chordata; Mammalia; Primates; Hominidae.
GUAAUCACAAGGCUUUCUAUUUCCAAAGAAUUAUUAGAGGUUUCAAGAAGUUUUCUAAGGUUUUAUUCAGUGGCAGAAGACUUCUUUCAUUGAAUAAAUUAUAAAGAAACAACCAGUGACAAAAUAGUAUCACUUUAUGAUUAGACCUCAUGAAUCCUAACACAUUAGUCACACUGUGAUGGUUAAUACUGAGUGUCAACUUGUUUGAAGGAUCAAAGUAUUGUUAUUGGGUGUGUCUGUGAGGGUGUUGCCAAAGGAGAUCAACAUUUGAGUCAGUGGACUGGGAAAGGCAGACCCUAACCUUCAUCUGGGUGGGCACAAUCUAAUCAGCUGCCAGCAUAGCCAGAAUAAAAGCAGGCAGAAGAACAUGGAAAGAUGAGACUGGCUUAGCCUCCGAGCCUACAUCUUUCUCCCAUGCUGGAUGCUUCCUAUCUUCAAACAUCAGACUCCAAGUUCUUCAGCUUUGGGACUUGGACUGGCUUCGUUGCUCCUCAGCUUGCAUACAGCCUAUUGUGGGACCUCAUCUUGUGAACAUUCUCCACCCCUUCAAGCAAUAGCAAGAUUGAGCAGCAUUCACCGCCCAGGGAAGACAUCAAUUAUAAGCAGAAUGAAGAUAAGGAAGAGAUCAAAGGCCUGGAAGAAUACUGAGCAAGGGCAAGACUUCCCAUGCUAGGCCAGAACAGAUCUAGAGACCUGUAGGGUCGGAAGGGGAGAGAUGAAGAGGAAGCAAAGAGAGUGAAAAAAUGAGGUGAGACUAUGCCAACUUCCAGCAAGAAGAACAGACAAAACCCCUGCAGAGGUUUAGGGAUCUGAGGCUGGAAGGAUGACCUCGGAAGUCACAUGCUGAAGAUGGAAGACAUGUUGUAGUGCUGCAUUGACCUGGGGCUCAGACAUCUCAGACUCUUGUAGAAAAAAAAAAAAAAAAAAAACAAGACACAACUUUAUUGGGUUUGGUCUUACUUAUUAUACAUAUAUGCAUUACUACAUUAAUAUAUCUUGUUCCAGCAGCUUAGUUUUUACUUUUAGCCUCUAGAGGAUUUAGUGAUUUAAGUAGCCAUGAAGGGUAAAGAACACCAGGGAUUUCACAAUGACUAAAUUUAACAGCACAGAUGGCAGGGUUGAUAGUGUGCCAUUAUUUGAGUUAAAGAAAAAGCAAAAGAAAUUGCAGCUCUGGGGAGAUGAUAAUAAACUCACAUUUUGAAGGAUGAAGUUUAUGUUACUUGUGGGAUAUCCUGUUGGAGAUAUUCAGUAGGUUUUUAGACAGUCCUGGAUCUGAGAAAAAUAUGAAAGGUUUAUAGAAGCCAGAUGCGGCAGGGAAUACAUAGGGAGAGGUUGUGCAGCUAGAAGAGAAGGCAGUCAAUUACAAGACCCCCAGAAACCAAAAGCAAUAAAUAAAUAAAUAAGGAAGACUGUCAUAAAAACAAUGUUGAAUGAUGAAACAAAAAACAAAAAAUAGGUGCUAAAAAACACACCCAUUCACACAGUGUGAUAUUAUUUAAAGAAAAGUUAAAAUAUACCAAAAUAUGACAUGACACAUUAUGUACAGGUACAUACUAUGUAGCAAAAGAAUAUUUAAAAUGCAUGUGAUUGUAAACAUGCAAGUUUGGAUAAUGGUUACACUUUCAUUUGGGCAUGAAGGAACAUACAAUCUGGGAGGAACACAUAGGGAACUUGAAAUUUGUUGAUAGUGUUUUAUUUAUUAAAAUGGAAGCAGGUACAGAAGUGCUCACUUUUUACAUAGUUCACAUGAUUUGAUAACAAAAUUUAAACCUAAAAUGCAGAAAAGAAAGAGAGUUUUACAAAGUAGGAUGCAGUUAACAAUAACAAAGGAAGAUGAGAAAUAGAAAAUGACAAUUGAAUUUGACAGCCAGUAGUUAAUUAAUGACAUUUAGAAGAGGAAUUUUAGUAAGUACAGGGGAACUGAGUUAGAUUUUUAAAAAAUGGAAUGUGUAAAAUUCCACAUUUACAUUCUAAACAUUACACUAUUUUUGUUGUGCUAUUCACUCUAGGAAAUUGCCUUAUAAUGAGGAGAAAUAAAUAAAUUUUACAUUCUGUAGUAAUUAGAGGAAAAGAUACUAAUGAGAUGAUAACUGCUCUAAUUCAUCUAAUAAAAUAUUUUUGAUUGGGUUAGUUUAUUAUAGGAAUCAGCUAUAAAAUAUUAAUCAUUUCUCACUAGUAUAUUAGAAAUAACUCUUAAAUCUGUUAAAGGUACAUAAAUUCUAGUGGGCACCUGAAUGUAAAAUAAUGAAAAGUAAAAAGACUCUGAAGAGAAAUUUUUUUUUAAAUUUAGGAAGCCAGUAAACCAUUUUCAAAAGAGUAUUUGUUAUGUUCUAAUAUUUGCGUCUCCCCGAAUUCAUAUGUUGAAACUCUAACCCGUAAGGCGAUGGCAUUAGGAGCCUUUGGGAAGUUAUUAGGUCAUGAGGGUUCCUCUUGCAUGAAUAGGAUUCCUGCCCUUAUAAAAAUGGCCCAAGAGAGCUCGCUGGCCCUUUCAGCCACAUAAGGACACAGUGAAAAAACGUUUAUAAACCAGGAAGUGGGCCCUCACCAGACACUGAACCUGUUGGCACUUUGAUUUAGAACUUCCCAGUCUCCAGAGCUGUGAGAAAUAAAUGUUGGUUGUUUAUAAGCCACACAGCCCAUGGUAAUUUGUUAUAGCAGCCUGAACAGGCUAAGACAGUUAUGUAAAUAUUACUCUUCCAAAAUAUUUUUCUUUUUUUUUUUUUUUUUUUUUGAGAUGGAGUUUCACUCUUGUUGCCCAGGUUGGAGUGCAAUGGCACGAUCUUGGCUCAUCACAACCUCCACCUCCUGGGUCCAAGCGAUUCUCCUG